GACGAGAGAGAGAAGGUGCAGUUUCUCAAAAGAGCACAUCAACACGUAGCAGUGUGAAGUUUAUAUGUGCGAGGUUUCUAUAACCUGACAGCAAAAGGAACGCCGUCAGGCCUCAAACCACCCCGAGUUUCUCUAGCAGACAUACAGGAAAGGACAAAGUCACGUGUGAGACCAAGCCUUGCUGAACAGCCUGCAACCUCCAAGAGGAGAACGUGUGGGUGUGGAGGUACGUUUCAAUCCAAGAUGAUUGUACUUUACAUCUACAAAGAACCCAUGGCUUACCAGGAAUCCCAGGCAAUCAGGGAUUUGGAUCCCAGAAGAUUACUCAGGGAAAUCUGUAAAUAAGAUUAAAUACAAAUUAAACACUACAAAUGUACAAUACA
This is a long non-coding RNA of Silurus meridionalis, 383 nucleotides long. RefSeq lists it as uncharacterized. The record is from RefSeq and is a predicted model, not a curated record. The transcript has 2 exons. Lineage: Eukaryota; Metazoa; Chordata; Actinopteri; Siluriformes; Siluridae.